AGCAGCCGCGGUAAUUCCAGCUCCAAUAGCGUAUAUUAAAGUUGUUGCAGUUAAAAAGCUCGUAGUUGAAUUUCGGGAUCAGUGGGUCGGUCGUGCCACUGGUAUGCACUGGCCCUACUGGUUCCUCCUUCUUGAAGAACUGUAAUGCCAUUAGUUUGGUGUUGCAGGGAAACAGGACUGUUACUUUGAAAAAAUUAGAGUGUUUAAAGCAGGCAAUCGCUUGAAUACAUUAGCAUGGAAUAAUGAAAUAGGACGUUCGAUCCUAUUUUGUUGGUUUCUAGGAUUGACGUAAUGAUUAAUAGGGAUAGUUGGGGGCAUUAGUAUUCAAUUGUCAGAGGUGAAAUUCUUGGAUUUAUUGAAGACUAACUACUGCGAAAGCAUUUGCCAAGGAUGUUUUCAUUAAUCAAGAACGAAAGUUAGGGGAUCGAAGACGAUUAGAUACCGUCGUAGUCUUAACCAUAAACUAUGCCGACUAGGGAUCGGAUGAUGUAAUUUUUAAUGACUCAUUCGGCGCCUUAAC
This 520-nucleotide ribosomal RNA is filed under the name uncultured Glomus. RNAcentral's name for it is "SSU rRNA". It matches the Rfam family "Eukaryotic small subunit ribosomal RNA", at positions 569 to 1092 of the family's 1831-position model. The record is from RNAcentral. Lineage: Eukaryota; Fungi; Glomeromycota; Glomeromycetes; Glomerales; Glomeraceae.